AGUAUUAAAUGGCUCCUCCAGCUCCUCCUCUCCUCAUCCUCCAAACUCUCCUCUGUCAGCAGUGAGCUCACUUUCUUAGUUCCAAGACCCUCCUCACACACUGACACCAUGCUGGGGACCCUCUGCACUCUCAUCACUGCUCUAACAUGUGUAGGUGGUGUGCCGGUGGUGACACAGAAGCCUGUAGUGACGGUGAGGAAAGGAGAGACAGCCUCCAUGGACUGUAACCUGGGGACUGUUACUGAUAGCAGUGCUCGCUGGUAUAAACAGAUUCCUGGAGGAGUCCCUCAGUAUCUACUAAGGUUUCAUCAGAGCCAUAGCUCUCCAAAGUAUAGCUCUGGUGUCUCCUCUCCAAAGUUCACAUCAACUCAUCAGUUAAACACAGAUUAUCGUUUGAUUAUCAACAAUGUGGAGGAGGGAGACUCAGCAGUCUAUCACUGUCACACAUAUGACAGAUCUGUGAAUGAGGUGGUAUCACAGUGAUUUACACCGUGACAAAAACCUCCUCACAAGAACUUCUGUUUUUUCAGUCUCUGACACAUCUGAUAACAGAGCAUUCAAAACAACUCAAUGUCCCACACCAUGUGCAAUAACCUGUUUAAAAAUA
This is a non-coding RNA of Notothenia coriiceps (black rockcod), 607 nucleotides long. The record is from the annotation of a RefSeq genome assembly. NCBI's taxonomy places the organism in Eukaryota, Metazoa, Chordata, Actinopteri, Perciformes, Nototheniidae.